Non-coding RNA from Schistocerca cancellata (South American locust), 74 nucleotides. The record is from the annotation of a RefSeq genome assembly. Lineage: Eukaryota; Metazoa; Arthropoda; Insecta; Orthoptera; Acrididae.
UCCUCGAUGGCUCAGUUGGUUAGAGCGUCUGCCAUCUAAGCAGGAGGUCCCGGGUUCGAAUCCCGCUCGGGGCA